GGGUUAGCAGUCUAGACGCGGCUUAGUUGGGUCAUACACAAGGCUGAAAUAAAGGAUUUUGCCUGAGCUAAGAUCUCCUCUGAUGCUUAAUGGGAAAAGAAACAGCAAUGGAAUAAUAAAAACAUUUUGAUCUAAUACAGAAAGAAAAGAAUAGUGGACAAGAACAAGAGAGGUCAACAUUUUUUUUGGAAGAUGGAAAGAGGAGCAUGAAUGUAAUAAUUAAAUAAUCGACACAGCAGAACAGGGAAUGAAAGUACAUGCCUGCAGAGGAGAAGCUAAUUAAAAGCCAGCCGCUUUGCCUUACAGAAACUAAGAAGGAAAUCAUUGCAGGAGGAGCCAAAGGAGCUCUUAGAUGAGGAGCUUAAUUUUGAGAAAAGAAAUCUGGACUGUAAGAAACAUGGAAUCAGACACACAAUAGAAUAGAAGGAAUUCCAAGAAUAAAGAUAAACGAGCAUUCCCAUAUGGAAGAUUUCAACAUGAGAAGCAAGCAACGUGGCUAAAAUGGAUUGGCAGAAUGGAGAGUUUCAAGAGGUAGCUGUUGUGGAGAAAAGUGUCGUUGAUAGAUUAUCUGAUGCAUUUUACAGAUUGAAAAUAGUAUUGAAAGCAGUUGUAUCAGUUAAGAAGCGGCAGGCUGUACAUAAUUUAAAAAAGCCCAGCAAACAACAGCUUUAAGUA
This is a long non-coding RNA of Symphalangus syndactylus (siamang), 675 nucleotides long. RefSeq lists it as uncharacterized. The record is from RefSeq and is a predicted model, not a curated record. Lineage: Eukaryota; Metazoa; Chordata; Mammalia; Primates; Hylobatidae.